CAUUGCUGCGGUGAAUACUUCCCGGGCCUUGUACACACCGCCCGUCACGUCACGAAAGUCGGUAACACCCGAAGCCGGUGGCCAACCCCCUUCUGGGAGGGAGCUGUCGAAGGUGGGACUGGCGAUUGGGACGAAGUCGUAACAAGGUAGCCGUACCGGAAGGUGCGGCUGGAUCACCUCCUUU
Molecule: non-coding RNA, 184 nt
Filed under: Streptomyces afghaniensis 772
Lineage: Bacteria; Bacillati; Actinomycetota; Actinomycetes; Kitasatosporales; Streptomycetaceae
Description: Bacterial small subunit ribosomal RNA
Rfam family: Bacterial small subunit ribosomal RNA
Source: Rfam by way of RNAcentral